CAGGGGUGGGGGUGUGAUUUUUGCUUAUGUUUGUUUAUAACCCUGUUGUGGUGUUUCUCCGAUGGAAUGCCGCAUUUUUUCCUUCCUUUAUUAAAAGGAUUUGCUACACUCAGACUCUGUGCUUGAGAGAGGG
Non-coding RNA from Chelonoidis abingdonii (Abingdon island giant tortoise), 133 nucleotides. Lineage: Eukaryota; Metazoa; Chordata; Testudines; Testudinidae. The record is from RefSeq and is a predicted model, not a curated record.